UGGAUCCAGACUUUGAUCCUGGCUCAGGACGAACGCUGGCGGCGUGCCUAAUACAUGCAAGUAGAACGCUGAAGAGAGGAGCUUGCUCUUCUUGGAUGAGUUGCGAACGGGUGAGUAACGCGUAGGUAACCUGCCUUGUAGCGGGGGAUAACUAUUGGAAACGAUAGCUAAUACCGCAUAACAAUGGAUGACUCAUGUCAUUUAUUUGAAAGGGGCAAAUGCUCCACUACAAGAUGGACCUGCGUUGUAUUAGCUAGUAGGUGAGGUAACGGCUCACCUAGGCGACGAUACAUAGCCGACCUGAGAGGGUGAUCGGCCACACUGGGACUGAGACACGGCCCAGACUCCUACGGGAGGCAGCAGUAGGGAAUCUUCGGCAAUGGGGGCAACCCUGACCGAGCAACGCCGCGUGAGUGAAGAAGGUUUUCGGAUCGUAAAGCUCUGUUGUAAGUCAAGAACGAGUGUGAGAGUGGAAAGUUCACACUGUGACGGUAGCUUACCAGAAAGGGACGGCUAACUACGUGCCAGCAGCCGCGGUAAUACGUAGGUCCCGAGCGUUGUCCGGAUUUAUUGGGCGUAAAGCGAGCGCAGGCGGUUUGAUAAGUCUGAAGUUAAAGGCUGUGGCUCAACCAUAGUUCGCUUUGGAAACUGUCAAACUUGAGUGCAGAAGGGGAGAGUGGAAUUCCAUGUGUAGCGGUGAAAUGCGUAGAUAUAUGGAGGAACACCGGUGGCGAAAGCGGCUCUCUGGUCUGUAACUGACGCUGAGGCUCGAAAGCGUGGGGAGCGAACAGGAUUAGAUACCCUGGUAGUCCACGCCGUAAACGAUGAGUGCUAGGUGUUGGAUCCUUUCCGGGAUUCAGUGCCGCAGCUAACGCAUUAAGCACUCCGCCUGGGGAGUACGACCGCAAG
This 909-nucleotide ribosomal RNA is filed under the name uncultured Bacillota bacterium. Its description in RNAcentral is "bacterial SSU rRNA". It matches the Rfam family "Bacterial small subunit ribosomal RNA", at positions 1 to 892 of the family's 1533-position model. The record is from RNAcentral. Lineage: Bacteria; Bacillati; Bacillota.